This 83-nucleotide transfer RNA is filed under the name Vitis vinifera (wine grape). It matches the Rfam family "tRNA". From Rfam's summary of the family: Transfer RNA (tRNA) molecules are approximately 80 nucleotides in length. The record is from Rfam by way of RNAcentral. Lineage: Eukaryota; Viridiplantae; Streptophyta; Magnoliopsida; Vitales; Vitaceae. RNAcentral also lists the same sequence under 1 other name.
CCGGCUUUAGCUCAGUUGGUAGAGCGGAGGACUGUAGUAUGGCUGUGAUCCUUAGGUCGCUGGUUCGAAUCCGGCAAGCCGGA